This is an RNA transcript of Ricinus communis (castor bean), 1855 nucleotides long. It is a transcript of the gene named ribosomal protein L11 methyltransferase, with no coding region annotated. The record is from RefSeq and is a predicted model, not a curated record. NCBI's taxonomy places the organism in Eukaryota, Viridiplantae, Streptophyta, Magnoliopsida, Malpighiales, Euphorbiaceae. The transcript has 8 exons.
UUUUUAAGAAAACUACAAAAGCACAUUCACAAUCCCGCGCCAAAGGAAACAACGUUCUCUUUCCUCAACCACUGACAUAAGAUCGGAGAGGCGUUAAGUAGCAACCAGAGCAGGAAGAAGAUGUCAAAGAGUCAUUUCUUCAAACACCUUUCCUACACUCUCUCUCGAGGCUCAUUCAUUGUUUCUACAGUCUCAAAUUUGAAACCCAUAUGCCGAAAUGUAUCAAAACCCAAUUCUUUACUCUUCGCCAACAAUAUUCCCAUAUCUUCUUUUUGCGCUUAUGUUCCUUUUUGCUCUUCACAUCAUACUGAUUAUUCUUCCACAGCUACUCAUACUCAUUCUUCUGCUUCUUCUUCUCCUUCUUCUUCUGCUUACCUUUCCGUUCGCAUUCGCUGUCCUAAUAAAGAUGUUGCUGAUAUGCUUUCAGAAGCACUUUUAUGCUUUGGUGCAAGUUCUGUUAGUACUGAUGAACAAGAUGACUCUGACAGCUCUAAUGAGAUCUGCAUGGACUCCAUAUUUCCUGAAUGUCAAGAUGUGGAUGCAUGCCUUUCUCAAGCUGCUGAUUCCGUAGGGUUAAAAAAGAUACCAAAGUAUGAGGUUAAAAUGGGAGAGCAAUAUGACUGGGUUCGGAAAACUCAGGAAUCAUUUCUUCCUGUUGAAGUUGCUGAAGGACUUUGGAUUGUGCCCGAGUGGAGAUCAGCCCCAGACGUUAGAGCAACAAAUAUAAUUCUGAAUCCUGGACUAGCGUUUGGAACCGGGGAGCACCCUACUACAAAGUUGUGUCUAUUGCUGCUGCGAGAAUUGAUAAAAGGAGGAGAACUUUUCUUGGACUAUGGCACAGGUUCUGGCCUUCUUGCAAUCGCAGCACUUAAGUUCGGUGCUGCAAUGGCAGUUGGACUUGAUGUAGAUCCCCAAGCUAUCAAAUCUGCACGUCACAAUGCUGAUCUAAAUAAUAUAGGACCUGAGACGAUGGAAUUACUCCUAGUUCCGAGCAAAACAUGCUCUCCAUUGAUGGAUGAAAGGACAAAUGAAGCUUUGAAGGAUGGCCCUUCUGAAAAGGCACUUGUCUCUGAAUCAGAGAAAUACGAUGUGGUCAUUGCUAAUAUCCUAUUGAAUCCACUCUUGGACUUGGCAGAUCAUAUUGUUUCUUAUGCUAAACCUGGGGCAAUUGUUGCUGUGUCUGGUAUUAUAUCUGAGCAGGCAGGAGAUGAAGCAGGCUGCAAAGACUUCGAUUUUGUAGGUUAAUGCUCAUUCCUUAAACUGAAAUUAAGCUAACAGAGAAAUGGAAGCCGGUGGCCUACUCUUCUGUGUCUUCACUUCGGAUCAAAACAGUCUAAAAUCUGUAUGGAAUAGUUCAAAUCGGUAGUCGCUAGCCACAGUCGUUUCCAGAUACAUGAGACCCUUGAUGAAAUGUAUCAUAUAUCAUGGACCGAUAUUCAAUGCUCUUGGAAGACAUAUCAGUACAAGAGAUGGAUGAUUGGGCCUGUGUAAUUGGAAGAAAGAAAAAUAAUAUUGAUGGGAGGUGAAGGAGACUGUAAUAUACUACCAGAACUAUGAGCAGAAGCACCAAAUGCACAACUAAGAACUUGGUCUCAAGCAACAAUGUCCACUUUUUCCAAGCAUAUGAUCCCAAACAGCAUCUGAAAGCCAAGCUGACAUUUACUUCCAACAUGGAAUAACUGUGGUUUAUCCAACUUGAGAAAAGGCUGUAAUUUGUCAAAUUGACACUUCUCACUUUUAUGAUUUUUCUUUUUUCUGGCCGACAGUAGUAGCAUUUUGUAUGAAAAAUGAAACAAAUACAAGCGGAAUUCAUUUUAUUUAUUUAUUAAAUGUCGUGAUGGGUAGGUGUAUCACA